Molecule: ribosomal RNA, 164 nt
Filed under: uncultured bacterium
Lineage: Bacteria
Description: partial 16S ribosomal RNA
Rfam family: Bacterial small subunit ribosomal RNA
Source: RNAcentral
UAGGGAAUCUUCCACAAUGGGCGCAAGCCUGAUGGAGCAACACCGCGUGAGUGAAGAAGGGUUUCGGCUCGUAAAGCUCUGUUGUUAAAGAAGAACACGUAUGAGAAUAACUGUUCAUACGUUGACGGUAUUUAACCAGAAAGUCACGGCUAACUACGUGCCAA